ACACUCCUACGGGAGGCAGCAGUGGGGAAUAUUGGACAAUGGGCGCAAGCCUGAUCCAGCCAUGCCGCGUGAGUGAUGAAGGCCCUAGGGUUGUAAAGCUCUUUCACCGGUGAAGAUAAUGACGGUAACCGGAGAAGAAGCCCCGGCUAACUUCGUGCCAGCAGCCGCGGUAAUACGAAGGGGGCUAGCGUUGUUCGGAUUUACUGGGCGUAAAGCGUACGUAGGCGGACUAUUAAGUCAGGGGUGAAAUCCCGGGGCUCAACCCCGGAACUGCCUUUGAUACUGGUAGUCUUGAGUUCGAGAGAGGUGAGUGGAAUUCCGAGUGUAGAGGUGAAAUUCGUAGAUAUUCGGAGGAACACCAGUGGCGAAGGCGGCUCACUGGCUCGAUACUGACGCUGAGGUGCGAAAGCGUGGGGAGCAAACAGGAUUAGAAACCCUGGUAGUCCCAUGA
Molecule: ribosomal RNA, 451 nt
Filed under: uncultured organism
Description: partial 16S ribosomal RNA
Rfam family: Bacterial small subunit ribosomal RNA
Source: RNAcentral